This 406-nucleotide ribosomal RNA is filed under the name uncultured bacterium. Its description in RNAcentral is "partial 16S ribosomal RNA". It matches the Rfam family "Bacterial small subunit ribosomal RNA", at positions 30 to 526 of the family's 1533-position model. The record is from RNAcentral.
AUUGAACGCUGGCGGCAGGCCUAACACAUGCAAGUCGAACGAGUAGCGGACGGGUGCGUAAUGUCUGGGAAACUGCCUGAUGGAGGGGGAUAACUACUGGAAACGGUAGCUAAUACCGCAUACCCUCAGAUGUGCCCAUAUGGGAUUAGCUUGUUGGUGGGUUAACGGCUCACCAAGGCCACGAUCCCUAGCUGGUCUGAGCGGAUGACCUGCCACACUGUAACUGAGACACGGUCCAGCCUCCUACGGUAGGCAGCAGUGGGGAAUAUUGCACAAUGGGCGCAAGCCUGGUGCAGCCAUUCCGCGUGUAUGAAGAAGGCCUUCGGGUUGUAAAGUAAUUUCAGCGGGGAGGCGUUACCCGCAGAAGAAGCACCGGCUAACUCCGUGCCAGCAGCCGCGGUAAUUC